This 843-nucleotide small RNA is filed under the name Drosophila pseudoobscura pseudoobscura. Its description in RNAcentral is "GA30910". The record is from RNAcentral. Lineage: Eukaryota; Metazoa; Arthropoda; Insecta; Diptera; Drosophilidae.
AAAAUACACAAAAUACAAUUUUUUUUGUUUGACAUUUUAAAAUGGCUUCCCAGUUUGCUCACCUGGGAAUGCCACUACCACCACAGUUAAAUGAUUUAUAAUAACGUUGGGUUUCCAUAAUGGAAACCCCUACCCUACACUCCUACUCAUGGCCACAUUUGUUUAAUCGUUUCUUUAACAUGGCAUCCCCUACUUAUGGCGGAAUUUGUUUAAUCGUUUCUUAAACAUGCCAUCCCCUACUUACUCAUUCUCACCCAUCCGGUGGGACAAGCCGAAAAGGCGACAAUUAGUAGGCUGUGGAAUCGAUUAAAAGCAGAUUUUUGAGCACCAAAAAUGUGCUAGAAAAAUAUUGUGUGAAAUAUUCAGUUCACAUUUAUUUUUCAGUGGGUCGAAAAGCAAAUGAAAAAUACACAAAAUACACUUUUUUUUGUUUGACAUUUUAAAAUGGCUUCCCAGUUUGCUCACCUGGGAAUGCCACUACCACCACAGUUAAAUGAUUUAUAAUAACGUUGGGUUUCCAUAAUGGAAACCCCUAUCCUACACUCCUACUCAUGGCCACAUUUGUUUAAUCGUUUCUUAAACAUGGCAUCCCCUACUUAUGGCGGAAUUUGUUUAAUCGUUUCUUAAACAUGCAAUACUGCUAGCUUCCAAUAGCCCGCUAUCAAAUGCUACACUAAACUACCGCACCUAUUGCGGUACCAAGUCUAGGAUAUUCGGUGUCUUCCACAGAGACGACUACAUCUUCAUUUGCGGCUGGACCGCAAUGAUAGAGGAUACAAUACAACUUUAAUGAAAUGAGCCCAAGUUCUUGUUAUCAAUAAAUAAAAUAGCAUUUACUUUGAA